UCCGUAGGUGAACCUGCGGAAGGAUCAUUAGUGAAUAUAGGAUGUCCAACUUAACUUGGAGUCCGAACUCUCACUUUCUAACCCUGUGCAUUUGUUUGGGAUAGUAGCCUCUCGGGGUGAACUCCUAUUCACUUAUAAACACAAAGUCUAUGAAUGUAUUUAAUUUAUAACAAAAUAAAACUUUCAACAACGGAUCUCUUGGCUCUCGCAUCGAUGAAGAACGCAGCGAAAUGCGAUAAGUAAUGUGAAUUGCAGAAUUCAGUGAAUCAUCGAAUCUUUGAACGCACCUUGCGCUCCAUGGUAUUCCGUGGAGCAUGCCUGUUUGAGUGUCAUGAAUACUUCAACCCUCCUCUUUUCUAGUGAAAGAGAAGGUGCUUGGUUUCUGAGCGUUUUGCUGGCCUCACGGUCGAGCUCGCUCGUAAUGCAUUAGCAUCCGCAAUCGAACUUCGGAUUGACUUGGCGUAAUAGACUAUUCGCUGAGGAAUUCUAAUCUUCGGAUUAGAGCCGGGUUAGGUUAAAGGAAGCUUCUAAUCCUAAUGUCUAUAUUUUAAGAUUAGAUCUCAAAUCAGGUAGGACUACCCGCUGAACUUAAGCAUAUCAAUAAGCGGAGGA
This 612-nucleotide ribosomal RNA is filed under the name Rhodotorula sphaerocarpa. Its description in RNAcentral is "eukaryotic LSU rRNA". The stretch from base 179 to 332 matches the Rfam family "5.8S ribosomal RNA". Lineage: Eukaryota; Fungi; Basidiomycota; Microbotryomycetes; Sporidiobolales; Sporidiobolaceae. The record is from RNAcentral.